UACGGGGGGAGCAAGCGUUGUUCGGAUUUACUGGGCGUAAAGGGCGCGUAGGCGGCCACCGCAAGUCGACUGUGAAAUCUCCGGGCUUAACCCGGAAAGGUCAGCCGAUACUGCGGGGCUAGAGUGCAGAAGGGGCAACUGGAAUUCUCGGUGUAGCGGUGAAAUGCGUAGAUAUCGGGAGGAACACCUGUGGCGAAAGCGGCGCACUGGACCAUAACUGACGCUGAGGCGCGAAAGGUAGGGGAGCAAACAGG
RNAcentral lists this ribosomal RNA (254 nucleotides) under uncultured bacterium. Its description in RNAcentral is "partial 16S ribosomal RNA". It matches the Rfam family "Bacterial small subunit ribosomal RNA", at positions 524 to 776 of the family's 1533-position model. The record is from RNAcentral.